RNAcentral lists this ribosomal RNA (468 nucleotides) under uncultured bacterium. RNAcentral's name for it is "partial 16S ribosomal RNA". It matches the Rfam family "Bacterial small subunit ribosomal RNA", at positions 28 to 507 of the family's 1533-position model. The record is from RNAcentral.
GACGAACGCUGGCGGCGUGCUUAACACAUGCAAGUCGAACGGAAAGGCCCUGCUUUUGUGGGGGGCUCGAGUGGCGAACGGGUGAGUAACACGUGAGUAACCUGCCCUUGACUUUGGGAUAACUUCAGGAAACUGGGGCUAAUACCGGAUAGGAGCUCCGGCUGCAUGGUGGGGGUUGGAAAGUUUCGGCGGUUGGGGAUGGACUCGCGGCUUAUCAGCUUGUUGGUGGGGUAGUGGCUUACCAAGGCUUUGACGGGUAGCCGGCCUGAGAGGGUGACCGGCCACAUUGGGACUGAGAUACGGCCCAGACUCCUACGGGAGGCAGCAGUGGGGAAUAUUGCACAAUGGGCGGAAGCCUGAUGCAGCAACGCCGCGUGCGGGAUGACGGCCUUCGGGUUGUAAACCGCUUUCGCCUGUGACGAAGCGUGAGUGACGGUAAUGGGUAAAGAAGCACCGGCUAACUACGUG